GAUCCCUUAGCUCAGCGGUAGAGCGUGAGAUUCCAGAUGGGUGUCCUCAAGGUCGUCCGUUCAAUCCGGGCAGGGAUCA
Molecule: non-coding RNA, 79 nt
Organism: Lentinula aff. lateritia
Lineage: Eukaryota; Fungi; Basidiomycota; Agaricomycetes; Agaricales; Omphalotaceae
Source: the annotation of a GenBank genome assembly